Molecule: RNA transcript, 4532 nt
Organism: Ananas comosus (pineapple)
Lineage: Eukaryota; Viridiplantae; Streptophyta; Magnoliopsida; Poales; Bromeliaceae
Gene name: tetratricopeptide repeat protein SKI3
Exons: 24
Source: RefSeq, a predicted model, not a curated record
AAUUCAGUAUUCAUUCAUUACUGUUUCCUCAACCCUCCCUCUCCAUCCGUACCCAACUCCCUCCUUUUCAAACCCCACCUCACCUUCCCCUCUCCCACUCACCGCAUCCCGGAUCUCUCGCACCUCCUACGUCCCCCGGAAGCAGCCUCGUCACGAUGCCAGAAACGGUGGACGAUGAUCUCUUCGAGAAGUUGCAGCAAACCCUAGAGUCCGAUCCCAACAACCCAAACAACCAUUACAACCUCGCCCUCUUCUUGUGGAAGAAGGGAGAAGAAUCGGAAGAAAGAGAAGAAUCCAAGCGGUUCAAGGAGCGAGCAGCUGAGCAUUUCUUGACCUCCGCAAAGCUGAACCCGAAUGAAGGCGCCGCGUUCCGCUUCCUCGGGCAUUUCUACGGCCGGGUGGCUGCGGACGCCCAGAGGGCUUCCAAGUGCUACCAGAGGGCUGUCACCCUCAAUCCCGAGGAUUCUGAAGCAGGAGAGGGACUAUGCGAUUUGCUGGAUGGAGAGGGAAAGGAGAACUUGGUGAUUGCUGUGUGCAAGGAGGCCUCCGACAAGUCUCCGAAAGCUUUUUGGGCAUUUCGGAGGUUAGGAUACUUUCAGGUCCAUCAAAGUAGAUUGUCAGAGGCAGUACAAAGUCUUCAGCAUGCAAUACGAGGUUAUCCAGCUUGCGCUGAUUUGUGGGAAGCGCUUGGUCUUGCGUACCACCGAUUGGGUAUGUUUACUGCAGCCAUAAAGUCAUAUGGGCGAGCCAUUGAGCUGGAGGGAUCGAGAAUUUUUGCACUAGUAGAGAGCGGGAACAUCCAGCUAAUGCUUGGCUCUUUUAGAAAAGGGGUUGAGCAGUUCUCAUCUGCCCUGGAAACAGUACCUAACAAUUUAGCUGCACAAUUUGGGCUUGCUUCUGGGUUACUUGGUUGGUCAAGGCAGUGUAUUAGUUCUGGAGCCUUUGGUUGGGGAGCUACUCUAUUGAAGGAAGCUGCGGAAGCAGCAAAAGCUUGUACGUCUUUGUCGGGAAAUCAAUAUUCUGCUUGGAAGUUGCAGGGAGAUAUACAGAUUGCCUAUGCGAAAUGCUUUCCAUGGGAAGACAAAGAGGACAGCCCAGAAGUCGAUGAGAAGAUCUUUAAAGUUUCUAUUGAUCAGUGGAAAAAUACAUGCCUUCUAGCGGCAAAUAGUGCAAAGUGCUCAUAUCAACGGGCUUUACACCUAGCUCCCUGGCAGGCUAAUUUAUACGCUGAUAUUGCAAUGUCAGUGGAUCUUAUCUAUUCUAUGGAAGAGAAAAAGGAACCCGACCCUGCUGUUUGGCAGCUUCCUGAGAAAAUGUGUUUGGGUGCCUUGCUGCUGGAGCCGAUUAAUAAAGAGUUCUGGGUCAUAUUGGGCUGUUUGUCUAGUAAUCAUGCUCUAAAGCAGCAUUCUUUUAUUAGAGGCCUGCAGUUGGACAUAUCUCUUUCAGAAGCAUGGGCAUAUCUUGGAAAGUUCUACGAAAGUUUAGGUGAGAAGCUAUUGGCAAGGCAAGCAUUUGAUCGUGCUAGAAGCAUUGAUCCUUCUUUAGCCUUGCCAUGGGCUGGCAUGUCUGUUGGCUAUCAGGACAGGACUAGCUUGGCAAAUGAGUCUUUUGAAAGCUGCCUAAGGGCUGUGCAGAUUCUGCCUCUUGCAGAGUUUCAAGUUGGCCUUGGAACAAUUGCGAUUCUUUCUGGUCAUCUUCUGUCCCCUCAGGUAUUUGGAGCCAUAAGGCAGGCUGUUCAGCGGGCGCCUCAUUAUCCUGAAUCACAUAAUUUAAAUGGCUUAGUAUGUGAAGCGCAAUCAGAUUAUCAGUCUGCGGUGACUGCAUACAGGCAUGCCAAAUGUGCUCUUGCCAUCAUGCCCAAUUCGAAGGCAGAUAUCAACUCUCAUCUUGCAGAUGUAUCAUUUAAUCUUGUCCGAUCACUCUGUAAGGCAGGACUUGCUUUUGAUGCUGCACAGGAAUGUGAAGAUCUGAAGAGAAAAGGUUUUCUUGAUAUCAAAGGAUUGCAAAUAUAUGCUGUUAUAAUGUGGAAACUUGGACAAUAUGAUUCAGCUCUCACCAUUGCUAGAAGUUUGGCCAAAAAUGUCUUAACCAUGAACCAGACAGGUGUAGCUGCUGCUAUAGGACUAAUAAGCUCGUUAAUCUACAGCAUUUCAGGAAAGGAAUCUGCUAUUGCAGUGAUACAGAAACUCCCCGGUCAGUUUCUGGAAAGUGAUAGAAUGAGACUAAUUAUCUCUGCAUUAAGUGCUUUAGGGCCAAGCAUGCAGCUGCAGUUGUCUCUACCAAGUAUGUUUCAGACAGUGGUAUCCUAUGGUGUGGUCAAUGAAAUUCACUCAAUCAUUGCUCUCAGCAAGAUGAUUAGCAGUGAGUUAAACCAAGAUUUGAGAAUUGAUCAUGGGGUGAAUUACUUGAGAAAAGUUCUUCACAUGUAUCCUGACAGCUCUUUAUUAAGAAGCCAACUGGGUUCACUUUUACUAUCCAGAGGAGACAGGAUGGCUCCUCAUAAAGCAGUUGAGUGCGCUCCUUUAUCUGAUGGUCAGACAGCCAAGCCGGGUUUUAAAUCACCGGACGUAAUUCAUGGUGCUGCAGUAGUUUCUUGCUACGCUUGCCGUUCUACUAUUCCGAAGUUUUCUUUCUCAACCUGUCCUGUUCAGCAUAUGCAUCAAAAGUCGAGAGUAUAUCAUCUUCAAAGAUGGCUGCAUCGAGAACCAUGGAACAGAACUGCACGAUAUCUGCUUAUACUCAACCUUCUGCAGAAAGCUCGUGAAGAAAAGUUUCCUGAACGUCUGUGUAUUAUUUUAAAACGGUUGUUAAAGGAUGCUCUUUCUAAUGAAAGUUACUUGGAAAAGAAUAAACAAUGUCAGUAUGAAAAGUUCAUUCUUCUACUCUCUGCUUCAGAGAUCAGUUUGCAAUCUCGGGACUUUCUUGAGUGUAUCAGUUGUGCUAAGGAGGCAUUAGGUGUUAAUCCUUUGAACACUGAACCCUUCUUUGCACACCUACAACUGUGUCGUGCCUAUGCACUUCAAGGGAAUAUUUCAAACCUUAGGGAUGAAUAUGCGAACUGCUUGCGGAUCAGUACAACCAAUGAAAUUGGUUGGGUAAUGCUUAAAUACCUUGAACCUAGUUGUCAGUUGGAGGACUCAUCUGAUGCAAUAGUGGUAAACCUCCAAAAGUGCAUCGAAAGGAAAGGUAAUUCCUCGAAUUAUUGGGUAGGACUAUUAUAUUUAGCUUGUGCUCAAUGCUUUGUAUGGGCUGAAGACUACGUAAGUGCGGAGCAAGCUCUUGCACAGGCUUGUGCUGAAGUGGAUGCUGACAGCUGCCUCUUGCUUUGUCAUGGUGUAAUCUGUAUGGAACUUGCUAGGCGGGAAUGUGUUCCUCAGUUUCUAUCUCGUGCUUUAUCUAGCCUCACAAAGGCACAGAAGGCCUCACCAACUCCUUUACCUAUUGUCUCCUUAUUGCUGGCUCAAGUAGAGGCCAGCCUAGGUUCCAAAGCUAAAUGGGAGAGAAAUCUCCGUUUAGAAUGGUCCUCUUGGCCGCCAGCUAUGAGGCCUGCUGAGUUGUACUUUCAAAUGCACUUGCUUGCGAUGCAGUCAAGUGCAGUUUCUGGCCAACACUCUGGUGUGGAGUCAUCACAAAGCCCGGAGAGGUGGCUUCUUCGUGCGAUACAUCUGAACCCGUCAUGUUUGAGAUAUUGGAAGGUUUUGCAGAAGCUCGUAGACAGCUAAUCACUUAAUCAUCUAGAUUAUACAAUUCCAGCAAAUGCUCUUCGCUCCUUAUUAGCAGCUGAUUGUGUUCUCCCGUAUGGUGGCUAAUUACAGUUCAUAUGGAAUCAGGAUGUGGUGUGCAGCAGCUAGUGGUGGGGUGGGGGGAAUGUUUCUAUGAUUCAAAAUUUUUUCCGAUUUCCGAUCCGAUUCUCCCUGCCCUGUUCUUACAUAGGAUCGAUCGGGGAGGGUGUGGUUGGUAGGAACUCGGAAGUUGGAAGGAUCCGUUGUGUGGGGAUGAGGUUGUGCACCAAUCGGAGGCCAUGUAUGACUCUCUCUCUUCCCCUUCUAGGUUAUCGAACGACUCCGUGGCACAUGUCAAAAGGGAAAGAGAGAGCCAAGUGGACUGGCGUGGAAAGGUAUGUGAUUCUCGUCAUUUCCGUGGGAAUCAACUCCAUUACCGGAGCAAACUAUAAAGAAUGCAUAGGGAAUUAGUCAUAGCCCAUGGAGAAUCAAAAAAAAAGAAGAAAAGGGGAAGGAAAAAAGAAAGUUGUGUAUCAAUAACAAUUCCAUUGGUUGCUUUUGCCAUUGCUGUUGCACAGAAGAGUAAGACUUAGAGAAGAGCGGAUCAUUGCUGGCUGCAAUAAAGCAACGGAGGAGUGGGGAGUGAGGACCACACACCCGCCCGCAGCACUCUUGAAUCUUGAGAGAGAGAGAGAGAGAGAGAGAGAGAGAGAGAGAGAGAGAGAUGUUGGAUGAUCAGCAGUUGUCCCUUCUGGGUCAGGCAUGCAUGCAUGGAUGCUUUUACUUAAUUGCCUCCUCCGCUUUUGUGUC